ACAGAAUUUUCCUUUCUGCGUUAAGGGCAAAGAUCUCACAGAUGUGACCAGAGAACCAUUUAUAUCUCCGGCAUUCUCUCCAGAGGGUAACCAAUCUUCCUGAUCUUACUGGAGUCCUUAAAACCCCAGCUGCUCUGAGGAGACCGGGCCAAACAAGGAAGAAGAAUUGGAAGAUGCUGGAAAGCAAAGACCACGUCUGCCAAACGGUGUAGCCGGAGCUGCAAUGUGUGAAGCAUGUCAUGUGAAGCAUGUCAGAAACCAGCGCUCAGCUCUGACUCGGGUGGGCACUUGCAGACCAAGUCUGGAUCCCAGGUGGUUCCGUGAUGGAACUGAAAGGAGCUGGCUUUAUGUCCUGGGUCCCAACACUUCAACGCCAGUUGGAUUUACCUCAGCUCGGCUGCAGAUUCCUCAUCCGUGAAACAGAGGUACAAUUUCUUGCCAUCUUUAUAGGGUUGUAGGGAUGUAGUGUGAAAGCAUUUGUGAGCUGUAAGUGACUUCAUAAAUAGAAAGCCUUGUGAAAUUCUAUCAAUAGAAAAAGCAAUAAAUAGCUCUAGAGUUGAUUUAAUCUUUUUUUUUUUUCCUUAAACCUCUAUGCAAGUGACAUGCAAGUAAGCGUUAGUUGUGGUACAUGAUGCAAGGUGUACUGGUAAAAUGAUUCUGAAUGGUACAUAACAUUCUUAUGUAUACAUGUCAUCUUUUUGGCCU
Molecule: long non-coding RNA, 705 nt
Filed under: Zalophus californianus (California sea lion)
Lineage: Eukaryota; Metazoa; Chordata; Mammalia; Carnivora; Otariidae
Description: lncRNA (ENSZCAG00015007120.1)
Source: RNAcentral